UAAGGGGUGUCCGCCGUGGGCGGGCUGAGAUUAGACCCUCGAACCUGAUCCGGGUAAUGCCGGCGUAGGGAUGAACAGACC
This 81-nucleotide non-coding RNA is filed under the name uncultured Prevotella sp. Its description in RNAcentral is "TPP riboswitch (THI element)". The stretch from base 2 to 72 matches the Rfam family "TPP riboswitch aptamer (THI element)", at positions 10 to 89 of the family's 105-position model. Rfam says of the family: Vitamin B(1) in its active form thiamin pyrophosphate (TPP) is an essential coenzyme that is synthesised by coupling of pyrimidine and thiazole moieties in bacteria. The previously detected thiamin-regulatory element, thi box was extended, resulting in a new, highly conserved RNA secondary structure, the THI element, which is widely distributed in eubacteria and also occurs in some archaea. The record is from RNAcentral. Lineage: Bacteria; Pseudomonadati; Bacteroidota; Bacteroidia; Bacteroidales; Prevotellaceae.